RNAcentral lists this microRNA precursor (63 nucleotides) under Tetraodon nigroviridis (spotted green pufferfish). RNAcentral describes it as "Tni-Mir-22-P1b2_pre stem-loop". It matches the Rfam family "mir-22 microRNA precursor family", at positions 15 to 74 of the family's 84-position model. Lineage: Eukaryota; Metazoa; Chordata; Actinopteri; Tetraodontiformes; Tetraodontidae. The record is from RNAcentral.
AGUUCUUCACUGGCAAGCUUUAUGUUUCUGUACACACACUAAAGCUGCCAGCUGAAGAACUGC